UAAGAAUUAGUUAAAUAACAUAACAUAAAAUUGUCAAUUUUAAAUUAUUAUUAAUAUAAUAUUCUUUU
RNAcentral lists this transfer RNA (68 nucleotides) under Orussus terminalis. RNAcentral's name for it is "tRNA-Asp". Lineage: Eukaryota; Metazoa; Arthropoda; Insecta; Hymenoptera; Orussidae. The record is from RNAcentral.